Molecule: ribosomal RNA, 253 nt
Filed under: uncultured bacterium
Lineage: Bacteria
Description: partial 16S ribosomal RNA
Rfam family: Bacterial small subunit ribosomal RNA
Source: RNAcentral
UACGGGGGGGGCAAGCGUUGUUCGGAAUUACUGGGCGUAAAGGGCUCGUAGGCGGCCAACUAAGUCGGAUGUGAAAUCCCCAGGCUCAACCUGGGAACUGCAUCCGAUACUGGAUGGCUUGAAUUCGGGAGAGGGAUGCAGAAUUCCAGGUGUAGCGGUGAAAUGCGUAGAUAUCUGGAGGAAUACCGGCGGCGAAGGCGGCAUCCUGGACCGACAUUGACGCUGAGGAGCGAAAGCCAGGGGAGCAAACGGG